GCCGCCGCCUGCCCGCCGGACAAAGCCGAGAGCCCGCGCCCACAGCCAUGUCCUCGUCAGCCGGCAGCGGCCACCAGCCCAGCCAGAGCCGCGCCAUCCCCACCCGCACCGUGGCCAUCAGCGACGCCGCGCAGCUACCUCAUGACUAUUGCAUCACGCCCCGGGGGGACGCUCUUCUCCACCACACCCCACACCGGGAGGAACUCGAAUCAUUUAUGACAGAAAGCUUCUGUUGUAUCGUCGCAAUUCUCCCAUGGCUCAGACCCCACCCUGCCAUCUGCCCAAUAUCCCAGGAGUCACUAGCCCUGGCACCUUAAUUGAAGACUCCAAAGUAGAAGUAAACAAUUUGAACAACUUGAAUAAUCACGACAGGAAACAUGCAGUUGGGGAUGAUGCUCAGUUCGAGAUGGACAUCUGACUCUCCUGCAAGGAUUAGAAGAAAAGCAGCAACACUGAUACUUGUGUGCACCUGAUUUGGCCAAUAGGAUCAACAGUGAAAAGACAGAAGAGGCAAUACCAGCAGUCCCCAUUACAGUCUCCACCUCCCCGUCUUCCUCUGGGUGCCAAAUGAUGGGAAGAUGAGCUUCAUCUGACCAUUUCUUCUCCCUGUCUCCUGUUCCCCUUCCCAGUUAAACAGGUUAGAUUGAAGGCCCUUGCUGUAUUUCUGUAGAGCUAAGCAGCCCUUAGAGGAAAACAGUUCAACUCUAACUUUCCUAGUUGUAUUUUUAUUGAGAGCCACCCUCAUACCC
Molecule: RNA transcript, 749 nt
Organism: Nomascus leucogenys (northern white-cheeked gibbon)
Lineage: Eukaryota; Metazoa; Chordata; Mammalia; Primates; Hylobatidae
Gene name: eukaryotic translation initiation factor 4E-binding protein 2 pseudogene
Exons: 1
Source: RefSeq, a predicted model, not a curated record